ACACGUACCGUACGAACGUUAUUCGGAAUCACUGGGCUUAAAGAGUUCGUAGGCGGCUAUGUAGGUGAGGUGUGAAAUCCCACGGCUCAACCGUGGAAUUGCGCUUCAAACCACAUGGCUUGAGGGAGAUAGAGGAAAGCGGAACUGAUGGUGGAGCGGUGAAAUGCGUUGAUAUCAUCAGGAACACCGGUGGCGAAGGCGGCUUUCUGGGUCUCUUCUGACGCUGAGGAGCGAAAGCUAGGGUAGCGAACGGGAUUAGAUACCCCAGUAGUCC
This 274-nucleotide ribosomal RNA is filed under the name uncultured bacterium. RNAcentral describes it as "partial 16S ribosomal RNA". It matches the Rfam family "Bacterial small subunit ribosomal RNA", at positions 523 to 796 of the family's 1533-position model. The record is from RNAcentral.